GUACGGUCGCAAGGCUAAAACUCAAAGGAAUUGACGGGGGCUCACACAAGCGGUGGAGCAUGUGGCUUAAUUCGAAGCAACGCGAAGAACCUUAUCCUGGGUUUGACAUGCACGGAUUAACUCGCCGAAAGGCGAGCCACACCCGCAAGGGUGGAACGUGCACAGGUGCUGCAUGGCUGUCGUCAGCUCGUGCUGUGAAGUGUCGGGUUAAGUCCCUUAACGAGCGAAACCCCUAUCGCUAGUUGCAAACGGUUCGGCCGUGGACUCUAGCGAGACUGCCGGCGUCAAGUCGGAGGAAGGUGGGGAUGACGUCAAGUCCUCAUGGCCUUUAUGCCCAGGGCUGCACACGUGCUACAAUGGCGCGCACAGAACGACGCAAAACCGCAAGGUGGAGCAAAUCGCUCAAAACGCGCCCCAGUUCGGAUUGUGGGCUGCAACCCGCCCACAUGAAGUUGGAAUCGCUAGUAAUCGGAGAUCAGCUACGCUCCGGUGAAUACGUUCCUGAGCCUUGUACACACCGCCCGUCAAGUCAUGGAAGCCGGUAGCGCCCGAAGUCGCCGAAUAUCAUCGGUGCCCACGGCGAGACUGGUGACUGGGACU
RNAcentral lists this ribosomal RNA (600 nucleotides) under uncultured bacterium. RNAcentral's name for it is "bacterial SSU rRNA". It matches the Rfam family "Bacterial small subunit ribosomal RNA", at positions 880 to 1482 of the family's 1533-position model. The record is from RNAcentral.